Equus caballus (horse) is the source of this 3159-nucleotide long non-coding RNA. The record is from Ensembl. NCBI's taxonomy places the organism in Eukaryota, Metazoa, Chordata, Mammalia, Perissodactyla, Equidae.
AUAAUCCUUAAGUGGGAGAAAAUUAGGUACUCUUAGACUAUCCCAGAUCUCCACAAUUCCCUAUAUGGGGGCUGGGGGGUGGUGAGGUAAGUCCUUGAGAAGUUGUAAGCACAAAUUGGCCCUUACAUGGAUACGUAUCAGAAAAACCAGUAAACUAUAUUAGAAGAAUGGAACAAGAAUGUGUGUGUGUGUGUGUGUAGUGAAAGAGCUAAAUUCUCAUCUUCUGUGUUGGGAAGUCAGAUAUUGUCUAACGUUACAAAAAUCAAGAAAUAAUAUAAGCACAUGAUUUUGAGAUAUGGUAGUGAAUACCAAAAUAAGGAGCUAUGGGUUGAAACUACUCCCAGUUGUUCUUGGGAGUUGGAAAUUGGGUCAGGAAGUGGACCUAUAUGAUUCUUUUGACCAGCUACGUAUAUUCAAUACACUAAAUUUAAAAGAAGGGGAAAAAAUAGAUGCACUAAACAGCAGAUUAGAUUGCUGAAGACAGAAUUAAGGUUUCCGGCAAUAUUUUUGUUCACAUGACCAGGGCCAUAUGUGAAUGGAUUCUGAUAUCUCCUUAGCUUUCUUUGGCUUUGUAAUAAUGAUACUAAUAUCAGGUUAUUGACAAAAAUCAGAACAGGAUGCUAUGAAAAAGGAGCAAUCAGAGAUCAAGAAAGAGUCCUUGAAUUAGUGUUGAAAUGGAAAAAAAUCUGUAUCGGGACUGAAUGGACUAUAUCCAGGUAAGGAAGAAAUUAGUGAACUGAUACAUAAAGGUAAAGAACUGGCUCAGAAUAUAAAGCACAAAGUCGAAAUGGAAAAUGUGCGGGUGAAGUUAAAAGAUAUAGAAGAUCCAGAAGGGCCAGUGUUCAACGAAUAUCCAGAUUCCAGAAAAAAAAAAAACAAAAUAGAGGAGGAAAAUUAUUAAAUGAACAAUUUCUACAACUAAGAAUGACAAAUCUCCAAAUUUAAAGAUGGUAUUGAAUUCCAACAAGGAUCAAACAAAACAAAACAAAAGCCCAAGAUAAAUCCUCAUGAAAUUUUAGAACUUUAAAGACAAAGAGAAAAAUAAAUCUGAAAAACAAGUUCUUGCAAAGGAAUAAACAUCAGAUUAGCAGCAAGAUUCUCAUCAACUAUAUUAGAUAUUAGAGGGCAAUGGAACAAUGCUUCCAAAGUCCUGUGAGAAAAUCAUUUUGAACCUAAAAUUCUAUGUCCAGGUAAAUGAUCGAUCAGGAGGGAAAUUUUAUUUCCUACACGCAUUUUUUGAAAAAAAUGCCUCAAUAAAGUACUCUAACAAAACAAAUACAAACAAAAGAAAAACAAGCAAACCAACAAAUGACAGAAUUCUAAGAGAAAAAUAUGCAAGAUCAAAGAAAUAGUAAGACUCAUUUAUUCCAGAAGCACAAGAUAAUAGCUGUUCACCAGGCCUAAAGAUAAUUGAUGAAAAUUAAAACAGGAAGUCAAAAUAUUUAGUGGAAAAAUUAUUCAAGAAGGCAUAUGUUUCUUCUAUUAAGAAGUAAUUUAUCAAACUAACAUUUAUUGAGUACUAUGAUAUACCGGGUGCUGGGUUAAAUAUUUUAUGUACCUUAUUUAAUCCUCACAAUGGUCCCACGAGGUAGGCAGUAUUAAUAACAAAUUACAAAUUAGUAAACUGAGCCUUAUAGAAGCUAAGCAACUUGCCCUAUAAAGCUAGUAAGUGAUAGAGCUGAGAUUUCAAUAAGCAAAAAACCCCAGGGAAUGGCUCCCUAGAGAAAUGGCUGAUGGCGGUGCCGGCCUCGUGGCUGAGUGGUUAAGUUUGCACACUCUGCUUCAGUGGCCCAGGGUUUCGCCAGUUUGAAUCCUGGGUGCCAACACAGCACCGCUCAUCAAGCCACGCUGAGGUGGCAUCCCACAUAACACAGUCAGAAGGACGUGCAACUAGAGUAUACAACUAUGUACUGGGGGGCUUUGGGGAGAAGAAGAAGAAAAGAAAAAAAAAAGAUUGGCAACAGCUGUUAGUUCAGGUGCCAAUCUUAAAAAAAAAAGGAGAAAUGACUGAUUGCAGGUAUAGGGCAGGAAACAUACAAGGUAAGUUGGUGACAUCUUGUCAUACCAAAAGGAAGAAAACCAUCAAAGAUCACUGGGUUGUGUCUCAAGGAUUCAGGAACCUGAAGAGGUUUCUACUUGCCAAAUAUAAGACAAUUUGGUAAUUAGAGUAAUAACUGCAAUAGAUUGAAACAUAUCAAACAUUUAAAUCCACGAGUUUGUAAUCAUACUUUAAAAGUGCUAGGGACAUGGCAACCACGAAGAAAGACCUAUAGAGGGUACACAAAAGAAAAUUAGAAAGGAAUCAAAGUAAGUCACUACAAAAAGUGAGACACAAAAGAAGGCAGCAAGAGAAGAAAAAGGAACAAAACAACAAGAUGUGCAGAAAAUGAACAAAAUGGUAAUAGGAAGUCCUUCCUAUCAGUAAUUACUUUAAAAUGUAAGUGGAUUAAAUUCUCCAGUCAAAAGACAUUGAGAAGCUGAAUGGAUUAAGAAAAGAUCCAACUAUACACUACCUAAAGGAAACUCAAUUUAGAUGUAAGGACACACAAAGGCUGAAAGUGAGAGGAUAGAAAAAGAUAUCCCAUGCAAAUAGUAACCAAAAGAGAGUAGGGAUAGCAAGAAAAAGAAAAAAAAGGCAUCCAAAUUGGAACGGAAGAAGUGAAACUCACUAUUUGCAGAUGACAUGAUUUUAUAUAGAGAAAACACUAAAGAAUCCACAAAAAAACUUUUAGAAAUAAUAAAUGAAUAUGGUAAAGUUGCAGGAUACAAAAUCAACAUACAAAUAUCAGUUGCGUUUCUAUAUACUAACAACAAAGUAGCAGAAUGAGAAUUAAGAAUAUAAUCCCAUUUACAAUCACAACAAAAACACAAUACCUAGGAAUAAACUUAACCAAAGAGGUGAAUGAUGUCUACAUUGAAAAUUAUAAAACAUUGUUGAAAGAAAUUGAAGAAGACACAAAGAAAUGGAAAGAUAUUCCAUGCUCUUGGAUUGGAGGAAUUAACAGUUAAAACUGCCCAAACUUCCCAAAGCAAUCUACAGAUUCAAUACAAUCCCUAUUAAAGUUCCAACAACAUUUUUCACUGAAACAGAACAAAGAAUCCUAAAAUUUAUAUGGAACUACAAAAGACCCUGAAUAGCCCAAGGAAUCCUGAGAAAAA